GUGAAAGCCCCGGGCUCCAGCUGGGAACUGCAUUUCGAACUGGCAAAACUAGAUGUGAUAGAGGUNGUAGAAUUUCAGUGUAGCGUGAAAUGCGUAGAGAUCUGAAGGAAUACCGAUGGCGAAGGCAGCCACCUGGGUCAACACUGACGCUCAUGUACGAAGCGUGGGGAGCAACAGGAUUAGAUACCCUGGUAGUCCACGCCGUAAACGAUGUCUACUAGAAGCUCGGAACCUCGGUUCUGUUUUUCAAANUAACGCAUUAAGUAGACCGCCUGGGGAGUACGGCCGCAAGGUUAAAACUCAAAUGAAUUGACGGGGGCCGCACAAGCGGUGGAGCAUGUGGUUUAAUUCGAUGCAACGCGAAGAACCUUACCUACACUU
Molecule: ribosomal RNA, 381 nt
Filed under: Pseudoalteromonas-like bacterium S3C14
Lineage: Bacteria; Pseudomonadati; Pseudomonadota; Gammaproteobacteria
Description: bacterial SSU rRNA
Rfam family: Bacterial small subunit ribosomal RNA
Source: RNAcentral